Molecule: long non-coding RNA, 1735 nt
Filed under: Pan troglodytes (chimpanzee)
Lineage: Eukaryota; Metazoa; Chordata; Mammalia; Primates; Hominidae
Description: long non-coding RNA NONPTRT007349
Source: RNAcentral
AUUUUAGGUAAGCCAGACUGUCACAACUGCUCAACUCUGGCCUUGUAGCUGGAAAGCAGCCCUAGACAAUCCGUCACCAGGUGGGCAUGGCUGUGCUCCGAUAAAACUUGAUUUACACAAACAAGUUGUUUGCAAUCCCUGGAUCAGAAGGAACGUUUACUACCCUGUAUCAUGUCUCUGUAGGCUCUCCCUUAUGGAUAGGAGUUCCCAAUUUCUGGUGUGUGUGUUAUACAGUAAUUAGGUAUAGGAUCAAACCCUGUUUAACUGUUUAUCUGUUGGAUUUCAGGAGGCUGGUGGCAUGUUGUCCUCAAUCUCGACACUACUAUCGCCAUCACCCAAAAUUUUGCCAGCAGCACCAACUUCCCUGUGGUAUGGCACAAGACGGUAAGAGGGAGACCAAAGUUAUCAAGGAAAUGGUAUAGGUGAGAGUCAUUUUUUUCUUAUUUCUGCUUGGUUUCAAUUUCGACCCCAGAGAUAAAAUGGCUAGUCCACUGCUGCGGUGAUGUGUGCUGAUCGUACACAGGGUUGGGCAAAGCUGGGGCUGCCGACCCUCUGGGUAGAGGAGAGAGGGGCCAAGGUCAGGGCAAGUCCUCAGGGUGUUCGCCAGCCUCGAGGUGGCAGGGUGAGACUCUGCAUGUUGAAUCCAAGCCACUCAGUCAAGACGUCAUAAUUGGGAUUGUUUCUCGUUUUGUUUUGUUUUGUUUUUCAAAGCUAGCGCUAGCUAAAAUCAUUUUAUUUGGGUUUUAUUUGGGUUGUUUCUUUUUCUUACCUAGAAGCAUUAUUCCCAUUUGAACUUAAUACCUUCAGUUCUUGUGAGUGAGGUGACUGCCCUGGAGACUUAGCUCCUCUGUUUAUCCACAGAACAGAUACAGCACGGGCAGCGGCAGUGCAAGCCACCCACAGCCACCCCGUGCCACUGUGUCCCAACCCUGACCUGGAGGGACCAGCUCUCGGGGAUCUUGAAGCAAGAGCACCCCGAGUUGGCAGUCCUGGCAGACUCGGUUGACCUUCAGGAGUCCACAGGGAUAGCUUCCGACAGCUCCAGCGACUCUUCCAGCUCCUCCAGCUCCAGUUCGUCAGACUCCGACUCAGAGUGCGAGUCUGGAUCCGAGGGCGAUGGGACAGUGCACCGCAGGAAGAAGAGGAGGACGUGCAGCAUGGUGGGAAACGGGGACACCACCUCCCAGGACGACUGUGUCAGCAAAGAGCGCAGCUCCUCCAGGUGACCCAGCAAGGCUGUUGUCUGUAUGGAAGGACACGCUCGCGGCGAGGGCAGGGCCUGGGGAGGGUGGCCUGUCCAGUCCUGCAGACAAGGGGAGGCCUGACAGAGCCCAAGAAUGAGGACACCCUCGGCACGGGAACCCAUUCACUUAGCGUUUGCUCCAGUAGCUUUCCCUCUGCUACCGAUGCAGAUAAACGCGGCUUGUUUUACUCAGAAAGGCAAGAGAAUGUGAAUAAUGCCAAGAAAACCCUUUACAUUAUUUAAUAAAAAUUGAAUCCAUUUUCUAUCUUGGAAAUGUUUUCCUUUGAGAAUACCAGAACAUUCCCUUAUUGCUCUUCUCCUCAUGGUGGUCUUGGGGGAAAGCGUGACUCCUGCUGUGCAUCCUGGACCGCAGAAUCGUCGUCCCAGCAGCGUAGGGAGAGCCGUUGGAAAAGUCACCCGGCAUCUUCUGCAGAACCUGAGGCGUGGCCUCUUGCUUUUUCUCCCAGUUUGCCGUUCCUGCUUGAGUGCUCA